Molecule: ribosomal RNA, 253 nt
Filed under: uncultured bacterium
Lineage: Bacteria
Description: partial 16S ribosomal RNA
Rfam family: Bacterial small subunit ribosomal RNA
Source: RNAcentral
UACGAAGGGAGCUAGCGUUGUUCGGAAUUACUGGGCGUAAAGGGCGCGUAGGCGGUUUUGUAAGUCAGAUGUGAAAGCCCCGGGCUUAACCUGGGAGGUGCAUUUGAAACUGCAAGGCUUGAGAUCGAGAGAGGAAAGUGGAAUUACGAGUGUAGAGGUGAAAUUCGUAGAUAUUCGUAAGAACACCAGUGGCGAAGGCGACUUUCUGGCUCGAUACUGACGCUAAGGCGCGAAAGCGUGGGGAUCAAACAGG